ACCGAAGCCUGUAACCGCCUCCGGGCGUGAUGGGUGGCUGGUAUCCUCCUUCUGAGGGGUGUAUGGCGCAGCGUGGGCCGGUCUCCGGGCCGCGCAUCCCCAGUGCUGCGGCGGACCAUCCCUUGGGCAACUCAGUGGGGGCAAUUGGAUAGCCCGUGGGGACCUUUGGCGGCUUCGGCCCUGGGGGCUUCCUGGGCUGGGCGCUGGGCUUCGGUCCACGCCUCGACCUAUAAACUAAUUCUGAACCCCUCUUCAUUGAGGGGCUCUGGGUGGUCCCCCGUCCUUUGGGGCGAGGCCUCCUGGUAAAGAUAGUUACCUGGUUGAUUCUGCCAGUAGUCAUAUGCUUGUCUCAA
RNAcentral lists this unclassified non-coding RNA (353 nucleotides) under Cladonia skottsbergii. RNAcentral's name for it is "partial 28S-18S ribosomal RNA intergenic spacer". RNAcentral also lists the same sequence under 1 other name. Lineage: Eukaryota; Fungi; Ascomycota; Lecanoromycetes; Lecanorales; Cladoniaceae. The record is from RNAcentral.